GAGGGGUCGUGGGUGGCUCGGUCUCACAGAGGGGCCAUGGGUGGUGGCUCUGGCGAUGGGGUUGUGGCGGUUUCUCUCUGUGUUAACGGAGAAGAUGAAGAAUGGUGGUGGUGCUCGUGAUGAUGAGGAUCUGGGAUUGUAUUUUGUAUUAUGCAUAAAUUAAUUGUGUUGAACAUUUGUAUCUAGGUUUUUGUUCUUGAUAUUCUAAGUUUGAUUUUGUACUGGAUUUUAUUUCUAAUUUUUGAUGAUGUUGGAAAAUAUACUACUGAUUACUGUGCCAUUUUGUAAACUUGUCAUUUCAGAUAUAGACAUGUUGAUUAUGCUCAAAUUUAUGGGAUGAUCAGAUUUUUCUUU
Long non-coding RNA from Humulus lupulus (European hop), 354 nucleotides. RefSeq lists it as uncharacterized. NCBI's taxonomy places the organism in Eukaryota, Viridiplantae, Streptophyta, Magnoliopsida, Rosales, Cannabaceae. The transcript is spliced from 2 exons. The record is from RefSeq and is a predicted model, not a curated record.